UACGUAGGGUGCAAGCGUUGUCCGGAAUUAUUGGGCGUAAAGAGCUCGUAGGCGGUUCACUAAGUCGGGUGUGAAACCUCCAGGCUCAACCUGGAGACGCCACCUGAUACUGGUGUGACUAGAGUCCGGUAGGGGAGUGUGGAACUCCUGGUGUAGCGGUGAAAUGCGCAGAUAUCAGGAAGAACACCAGCGGCGAAGGCGGCACUCUGGGCCGGUACUGACGCUGAGGAGCGAAAGCGUGGGUAGCAAACAGG
RNAcentral lists this ribosomal RNA (254 nucleotides) under uncultured bacterium. RNAcentral describes it as "partial 16S ribosomal RNA". It matches the Rfam family "Bacterial small subunit ribosomal RNA", at positions 524 to 776 of the family's 1533-position model. The record is from RNAcentral.